UACAGAGGUCUCAAGCGUUGUUCGGAUUCAUUGGGCGUAAAGGGCGCGUAGGCGGCGGGGUAAGUCGGGUGUGAAGUCUCAGAGCUCAACUCUGAAAUGGCACUUGAUACUGCUCUGCUAGAGGACUGGAGAGGAGAUUGGAAUUCACGGUGUAGCAGUGAAAUGCGUAGAUAUCGUGAGGAAGACCGGUGGCGAAGGCGGAUCUCUGGACAGUUCCUGACGCUGAGGCGCGAAGGCCAGGGGAGCAAACGGG
RNAcentral lists this ribosomal RNA (253 nucleotides) under uncultured bacterium. RNAcentral's name for it is "partial 16S ribosomal RNA". It matches the Rfam family "Bacterial small subunit ribosomal RNA", at positions 524 to 776 of the family's 1533-position model. The record is from RNAcentral.